ACUCCUACGGGAGGCAGCAGUCGAGAAUAAUUCACAAUGGACGAAAGUCUGAUGGUGCAACGCCGCGUGGAGGAUGAAGGUCCUCGGAUUGUAAACUCCUGUCAUCGGGGAGUAAGACCUGGCGGUGAAUAGCCGACAGGGUUGAUAGUACCCGAAGAGGAAGGGACGGCUAACUUCGUGCCAGCAGCCGCGGUAAUACGAAGGUCCCGAGCGUUGUUCGGAAUCACUGGGCGUAAAGGGAGCGUAGGCGGUUCGGUAAGUCAGGUGUGAAAUCCCGGGGCUCAACCCGGAACUGCACCCGAUACUGCCGGACUUGAGUAGUGGAGGGGUAGCCGGAAUUCUCGGUGUAGCAGUGAAAUGCGUGGAUAUCGAGAGGAACACUCGUGGCGAAGGCGGGCUACUGGACACUUACUGACGCUGAGGCUCGAAGGCCAGGGGAGCGAAAGGGAUUAGAUACCCUGGUAGGCUCUGC
Molecule: ribosomal RNA, 472 nt
Filed under: uncultured bacterium
Lineage: Bacteria
Description: bacterial SSU rRNA
Rfam family: Bacterial small subunit ribosomal RNA
Source: RNAcentral